Non-coding RNA from Schistosoma curassoni, 78 nucleotides. The record is from Rfam. NCBI's taxonomy places the organism in Eukaryota, Metazoa, Platyhelminthes, Trematoda, Strigeidida, Schistosomatidae.
AGCCUUCUGAACCCGUGCCGAGAUUUCGUCAGACACCAAACCAUCAGGACUGAUGAAACUCUAAAAAUAAGUGAGGCA